CCUCUCAUGGCAUAGCGGUAACGCGCCCUUACUAGAGAUCAGGAAGUCGUGAGUUCGAUUCUCACUAAGAAGA
Aedes aegypti (yellow fever mosquito) is the source of this 73-nucleotide non-coding RNA. The record is from Rfam. Lineage: Eukaryota; Metazoa; Arthropoda; Insecta; Diptera; Culicidae.